UUAUUUCACAGCAGCAAGUCUCAUCCUUAUUGCUAUAAAACUACUUAUCUUCUCUUUCAUGAACAUUUGUGAGCUGAAAUAUAUAAUCUAAACCCCAGAAAAAAGCAUUCAGAGACAGGAACAUCUAAAAUGUUAAAUAUGAUCGAGAUUCUCAAAUUAGAAAUAAAAAAUAAUCCAACAUCCUUUAAAAUAUGCAGAGAGUAUCAAUAAUACUAAAAGUGUAAUGUCUAUAAUCUUGAUUUAAUUUGGAGAUUUAUGUAUGAAACUAAAACUUGUCAUCUCAAAUAAUUUCCUCAAAUGUCACAUGAAAUGAACACAAACGUUAUAGCUAAGAGGGAAAGAUCAUAUUUGAAAAUACUUUGAUUAAAACAAGAUAAAGCCAAGGCAGUACAAUUAUUAUCUGUUAAUGUGUAAUAACCAAGAUAAUUCUAAAUCAGGGCAAGUGGUGCGGAAAAAAAUAUACCAAACUACAAGGGUUAUAUCAAU
RNAcentral lists this long non-coding RNA (486 nucleotides) under Phaseolus vulgaris (common bean). Its description in RNAcentral is "long non-coding RNA (PVUL_LNC002593)". The record is from RNAcentral. Lineage: Eukaryota; Viridiplantae; Streptophyta; Magnoliopsida; Fabales; Fabaceae.